GACGAACGCUGGCGGCGUGCUUAACACAUGCAAGUCGAACGGAAAGGCCCUGCUUUUGUGGGGUGCACGAGUGGCGAACGGGUGAGUAACACGCGAGUAACCUGCCCUUGACUUUGGGAUAACUUCAGGAAACUGGGGCUAAUACCGGAUAGGAGCUCCUGCUGCAUGGUGGGGGUUGGAAAGUUUCGGCGGUUGGGGAUGGACUGGCGGCUUACCAGCUUGUUGGUGGGGUAGUGGCUUACCAAGGGUUUGACGGGUAGCCGGCCUGAGAGGGGGACCGGCCACAAUGGGACUGAGAGACGGACCAGACUCCUACGGGAGGCAGCAGGGGGGAAUAUUGCGCAGUGGGCGGAAGCCUGAGGCAGCAACGCCGCGUGCGGGAUGACGGCCUUCGGGGUGUAAACCGCUGUCGCCGGUGACGAAGCGUGAGUGACGGUAAUGGGUAAAGAAGCACCGGCUAACUACGUG
Molecule: ribosomal RNA, 468 nt
Filed under: uncultured bacterium
Lineage: Bacteria
Description: partial 16S ribosomal RNA
Rfam family: Bacterial small subunit ribosomal RNA
Source: RNAcentral